CAUCCAAACUCCACACAGGCGGUCCCCAGAACUGUGAGGCGGAUGUGCUAACCAGUCGUGCACCAACUAUUUAUAUACAAGCAAUUUUAAAGUCCAUUUUCCAUAAUAUGUCCCUUUGAAUGUUAUAACACCCAACCAAUCAAAUGGACUUAGUUCCACAGGUGAGUAAUGGUAGCAUAUUUGUUGUCCAUGAAAACAAAUGGACGUUAAACUUUUCUUUUUCAGGUAUACGUAAUCUGACAGUUUAUGAAGCAGCAGGGAACAAGACAAUGUGAAAAGAUACUGUGAAAAUUCUACAUGAAACAGUAUCCAGCGAUAAAAUAUGUAAACAAAAGUAAGGGUUUUAACGUCAUAGUGGUGAAAAUCAACCGGCUCAACUCUUCUCAGGUUCAAAACUUGAACGACUCCUUGUUGAUGCAGGCAAAGGAAUAAAUAAACGUCUUCUGUCUCGAGAGACGUUUGUGAUAACGAGAAACACGCCGCAUGCCCAACUUUAUUCCCAUGAUUCUUUGUGCUGCUCUAAUGAAUAACAGACGGGCUCUCCCGCCGCAGUCGCCACACAAAAACCCUCCACUCGGCGCACAUGAGAGCUUAGCCCGCUCAUUAGGAGAGACGCAUGGAGAAUGGCAGCGAAUGGGUGAUGCGCGGCCUCACGUCGUCGUCCAUGGUCGUCGCUGAUUGGACGCAGAGGGCCAAAAGGAUGGCGGCGGCCGGGAGGCAGCGCGCGCCUGCCGCUGAUGCCCACAUGGUCCUCCUCCACACGGCAAGCAGAUUCUUCGCACAGAGGAGGAAUACUUUCUGGAUUAAAAGCCUGCUUGUUUUUUGCUGGUGUAUGUGAUCCGCACUAAGCAGUGGUCAUCUGUGGAGAGAACAGAGGGAAACGCUUUCUUUAAGUCUGAUCCAAGAACAUUGCAAAUUAAAGCUCAGCUAGAACAACACAUUCAGUUUGUGACAACAAAAAGAAAAAAUUGGCCAAAGAUUUUACUGCAAAGCUGAAAUUUAAAGAGAUUCUCAGUUUUUCGACUUCGCCAGUAAAAUUUGUUGGCUCACUGUCUCGUUUGCAAAACAUUUUUGUUGCCGCGAUGCCAAAAACAAAAGCGAGGCCACUCUUUGAGCACGCUGCCAAAGAACAACUCCAUCAAAAUGCAAGCAGCUGGCACUCGACGCACAAACAUCAUGCGGUAGCAUCACAAACCUUUGCCAUUUUUAAUCCCCCUGUAUCAAAUUAUACUUUCAUUAACAAUCAAAGAUGAUCAUGAGGAAGCUUGGCUCAACAUUUGUGGCUGUGUUGAGGAUUAAUGAAAGAACAGCGAGUCCAAAGACAACUCUGUAUUUGUAUAUAGAGACACAAUGAAACCACCUACUCAGUGACUUUUAUGGGCUUUUAGUGUGCAUCCACAUCUUUCCAGAAUAUUCCCUUUGCCCAUUUCUAUUCAUUGAUACAAACUAUCCAAGACAUAUCAGACCGGAUGGAUUUAAAUUCAAACUUUCAUUUAAAAAUUAAUCAUGCAGUGUGUCCAAGUGGUGUUCACGUACCACUUCCGCUAGUACAGCGACAAAAAUGGCCAACAAAAUCAUGAACCAAUCAGCACGCUCCUGCUAUAUGAGACUGCCAUGUACUGGAGAUACUAAUUGCAAUUUACUGUACAUUGCUUAGUACACUGUUCAUAAUGUUUUUCACGAUGCAAGCCGUUGUUUGGCCAUUUUUAUUUAUUUUUUGCUUUUACUUGUGAGCAAAACUUUG
Molecule: long non-coding RNA, 1744 nt
Organism: Phyllopteryx taeniolatus (common seadragon)
Lineage: Eukaryota; Metazoa; Chordata; Actinopteri; Syngnathiformes; Syngnathidae
Exons: 3
Source: RefSeq, a predicted model, not a curated record